RNAcentral lists this ribosomal RNA (391 nucleotides) under uncultured bacterium. RNAcentral describes it as "bacterial SSU rRNA". It matches the Rfam family "Bacterial small subunit ribosomal RNA", at positions 28 to 419 of the family's 1533-position model. The record is from RNAcentral.
GACGAACGCUGGCGGCGUGCUUAACACAUGCAAGUCGAGCGGUAAGGCCCUUUCGGGGGUACACGAGCGGCGAACGGGUGAGUAACACGUGGGUGACCUGCCCUCAGCUCUGGGAUAAGCCUGGGAAACCGGGUCUAAUACCGGAUAUGACUCCAUGACGCAUGUUGUGGGGUGGAAAAGCCUUGUGCGGCUGAGGAUGGGCCCGCGGCCUAUCAGCUUGUUGGUGGGGUGAUGGCCUACCAAGGCGACGACGGGUAGCCGGCCUGAGAGGGCGACCGGCCACACUGGGACUGAGACACGGCCCAGACUCCUACGGGAGGCAGCAGUGGGGAAUCUUGCGCAAUGGGCGAAAGCCUGACGCAGCGACGCCGCGUGAGGGAUGACGGCCUGU